UACGAAGGGGGCUAGCGUUGCUCGGAAUGACUGGGCGUAAAGGGCGCGUAGGCGGUUUGUACAGUCAGGUGUGAAAUUCCCGGGCUCAACCUGGGGGGCUGCACUUGAUACGUAUGGACUGGAGUGGGGAAGAGGGUCGUGGAAUUCCCAGUGUAGAGGUGAAAUUCGUAGGAUAUUGGGAAGAACACCGGGUGGCGAAGGCGGCGACCUGGUCCUUGACUGACGCUGAGGCGCGAAAGCGUGGGGAGCAAACAGG
This 256-nucleotide ribosomal RNA is filed under the name uncultured bacterium. Its description in RNAcentral is "partial 16S ribosomal RNA". It matches the Rfam family "Bacterial small subunit ribosomal RNA", at positions 524 to 776 of the family's 1533-position model. The record is from RNAcentral.